GCAAAACGAGGGCUUUACUGUCUCCUUUUUCCGGUCAAUGAAAUUGAUCUCCCCGUGCAGAAGCGGGGAUCAACACAUAAGACGAGAAGACCCUAUGGAGCUUUAAACUCAGGCGGCAGGCUACGUCAAACACUCUAAAAUAAUAGACCGAACAGUGUAGAAACUGCCCGAAUGUUUUUGGUUGGGGCGACCCUGGGGAAUGAAAAAACCCCCAUGAAGAUAGGGAAAACUAAUCUCCUACAGACAAAAGCUACAGCUUAAGUCCCCAGAAAAUCUGACUUAUAGAUCCGGCCACGCCGAUCAACGGACCGAGUUACCCUAGGGAUAACAGCGCAAUCCUCUUUUAGAGCCCAUAUCGACAAGAGGGUUUACGACCUCGAUGUUGGAUCAGGACAUCCUAAUGGUGCAGCCGCUAUUGAGGGUUCGUUUGUUCAACGAUUAACAGUCCUACGUGAUCUGAGUUCAGAACCGGGGGGGGGGACUGUUUAUCAAAAACAUAUACGUGAUCUG
Molecule: ribosomal RNA, 510 nt
Filed under: Gerres erythrourus
Lineage: Eukaryota; Metazoa; Chordata; Actinopteri; Gerreiformes; Gerreidae
Description: partial large subunit ribosomal RNA
Rfam family: Bacterial large subunit ribosomal RNA
Source: RNAcentral